UUGCGUCAGGUGAACCGCGCGAAAUACAAAUUUAGUGUCAGUUUUAGUGAUUUAAUUUUCACAAACGAGUCUGUUAAAGUACGCUCUGUGUAUCUGCUUAAAGAUAAAGUUCCUGCUACAUGUGUUAUUGAGUCAGAGCUUAUUAAAGGACAAGAAUCUGACGACGGUAAUCUCGUCAACGGCUAAACUGUUAUCUGGAAAGUGAGAAAUGGAUAAAAAGACGUUGGUGAAGCGGCGCGCUGCUAACAUGCUAAACCCUGAAGUUCGAUGGUUUUUCCUACUCUUAUAAGACUUGGGCACCACCUAAGCCCAAGCCCAGUGACCACACCACGUAAGCCCACCAACAACCCAGGAAAAUGGCCACAUGUCAAGGAAGGCUGCUGAGGUUGAGAGAGUCUUAGUGUCCAACAGAGAAGACCCGGGACUAUGCUGUAAAGGAGAAAAUUACAAGGAGGCCUGGAUCUCGGAAACUUGAAUCUACUAGUGAAUCAGAUGGGCCAUGCCGAUUAAUCUUAAGGCAGUCAGAGCUGCUAAAAUAAUGAAAUUUAAAAAAAGAUCUGUCUGCGUCAGUGCAUUAGUGCAGAUGAAGGUGGACAAACAUAUUUUUCCCAUGGAGGAGGUCCAAAAAGUGUACUUCACCAGCAAAUUCAAUGAUGUGGACAAGCUAGGAAAACAAGAGGUGUAAUUCAUGUCACAAUUCUCGCCCCCGCACACACACAAAGACAUAGGACACAUCCAAGCACCCAAUACUGCCAUAAUUAAAUGCAUAGUGAAUGAUUAUGAAUUAGAUUUUUCAUUAUGUAUGUAUAGAGUUUAUAUAUAUAGAUUUAUAACACAAUACAUUAUUCAGUUAUAUAAUUGUAUAUAUUACUGUAUAAUAAAAUUAUAUUAUUGUAUAAUUACCAUCGUAAAAUAAAUUAUUAAGUGUAAUAUAAUUGUUAUUAUAUAACAAAUACAAUCUAUUACUAUUAUUUUCUAUGUUACUAUUAUUAUAUAACAUUUAACAUUGCAAUAUACAUUGCCAAGUUGGUAAAUGUGUUAUCAGUUUACCAUUUAGAAGGUAUCCUUACCAGUUGUUUUUGUGCGUGUUUGAAAUUAUACCGUUGCUUA
Molecule: long non-coding RNA, 1110 nt
Organism: Trichomycterus rosablanca
Lineage: Eukaryota; Metazoa; Chordata; Actinopteri; Siluriformes; Trichomycteridae
Exons: 6
Source: RefSeq, a predicted model, not a curated record